CCAAUAGCGUAUAUUAAAGUUGUUGCAGUUAAAAAGCUCGUAGUUGAAUUUCGGGAUUAGUACGCUGGUCGUGCCUUCGGUACGUACUGGUGUUACUGAUUCCUACCUUCUGACGAACCGUCAUGUCAUUAAUUUGAUGUGGCGGGGAAUCAGGACUGUUACUUUGAAAAAAUUAGAGUGUUUAAAGCAGGCUCGCGCUUGAAUACAUUAGCAUGGAAUAAUGAAAUAGGACGUUCGAUCCUAUUUUGUUGGUUUCUAGGAUUGACGUAAUGAUUAAUAGGGAUAGUUGGGGGCAUUAGUAUUCAAUUGUCAGAGGUGAAAUUCUUGGAUUUAUUGAAGACUAACUACUGCGAAAGCAUUUGCCAAGGAUGUUUUCAUUAAUCAAGAACGAAAGUUAGGGGAUCGAAGACGAUCAGAUACCGUCGUAGUCUUAACCAUAAACUAUGCCGACUAGGGAUCGGAUGAUGUUAUUUUUAAUGACUCAUUCGGCGCCUUACG
This 498-nucleotide ribosomal RNA is filed under the name uncultured Glomeromycotina. RNAcentral describes it as "partial small subunit ribosomal RNA". It matches the Rfam family "Eukaryotic small subunit ribosomal RNA", at positions 591 to 1092 of the family's 1831-position model. Lineage: Eukaryota; Fungi; Glomeromycota. The record is from RNAcentral.